CCUACGGGAGGCAGCAGUGGGGAAUAUUGGGCAAUGGGCGCAAGCCUGACCCAGCAACGCCGCGUGAAGGAAGAAGGCUUUCGGGUUGUACACUUCUUUUCUCAGGGACGAAGAAAGUGACGGUACCUGAGGAAUAAGCCACGGCUAACUACGUGCCAGCAGCCGCGGUAAUACGUAGGUGGCAAGCGUUAUACGGAUUUAUUGGGUGUAAAGUGCGUGGCGGCGGGAGCGCAAGUCAGAUGUGAAAACUCAGGGCUCAACCCUGAGCCUGAAUUUGAAACUGUGUUUCUUGAGUGCUGGAGAGGCAAGCGGAAUUCCGGGUGUAGCGGUGAAAUGCGUAGAGAUACGGAGGAACACCAGUGGCGAAGGCGGAUUGCUGGACAGUAACUGACGCUGAGGCGCGAAAGCGUGGGGAGCAAACAGGAUUAGAUACCCUUGUAGUC
This 443-nucleotide ribosomal RNA is filed under the name uncultured bacterium. RNAcentral's name for it is "partial 16S ribosomal RNA". It matches the Rfam family "Bacterial small subunit ribosomal RNA", at positions 338 to 795 of the family's 1533-position model. The record is from RNAcentral.